This 3032-nucleotide long non-coding RNA is filed under the name Vigna radiata. RNAcentral's name for it is "long non-coding RNA (VRAD_LNC012673)". Lineage: Eukaryota; Viridiplantae; Streptophyta; Magnoliopsida; Fabales; Fabaceae. The record is from RNAcentral.
UCACGGAAACCAUACUUGCUGCCACGUGCCCUCUGAUCCGUGAAUGAUGGUAGCAUAGGUCACCGUUCAGAUUUACUUGCACAGAAGAGAUAGCUUAUAAAUCUCUUCUUCUAUCUCCAUGUAAUUCACUUUUGGAAUAUAUGAGAAUUUCUNCUGAUGCANUUCCAGCUAUUUUCUCNGCACCGAAAGUCACUCCACCAUGAGCUUCCCCUUUCUCUCCUCUAGCUUCCUUCCAGGGAUGGAAGGCGGUCUGAGCUAGAUAUCACAUCCACCGAAAGCUCUUCCUCCACCUAAAUCAACCACUAGAUCCACUGAACCACGUUUCUUNCGCUGCUAGUUGCAUUUAGUGAGCAUACUUCACCUCUACUCAUGGAUUCAUCACCCAUUCGGCUGCUUCAAUAUCUCCCAUGGCUGGAACGUACUCUAUCAGGUGGUAUUCAGAGCCUAGGUUGCUCACGGUGCUCUCUGGUUGUUCCAGCUAAGUGUCUCUUUUCAUUCCAUUUUGUCAAAUUUUNUUUCUGCGUGUUUCUUGAUUCUGGUUAUUGUUCCAUUCAAUUUUUCGUGUUAUAGGUUCUGUUGCGUCUUUUGUUUGUGUGCCAGCUUUUAUUUGUUUUUGAUUCAUCAUUUUAUUCGGCCAGAUCUUUGAGUUUGAGUCUUUUAUUUUCAAAUCCUGUUCGGUUUGUCUAAGUCAUGUUACUGNUUUAAUUUUGUCAAAUUCUGAAGUUGGAUCUCUGCCUGGAUAAAUCUGUGUUACUUGAAUGGUUAUUNAAGAGCUGCACAUUAUAAGAGCAAUGAUUCNAAAGAGCUCAAGUGUAGCCUGAGUCCAUCAAAGUGCAGUACCGAUUAAUGCAGAAGUGGAAUCUGUUUCAAAAUCUGGUUUCAGUUUCAUUUAAUUUGUACCGUGUGGAAAAUCGAAUUCUGGAUGUGUUGAAUUGUUGCGAUAGUGUGAUAGGCAUGCCAUAUGAAUAGUGAUUUGUCUAAGACAAUCAUUCAUGAUGCACCACACUGCAGAUACAAAAUUCACUAAUUCAAGCAGACAGAGCCGAGCUGCAAUUUCUUUGUGUGUCUUUUGUCUAUGAUUUUGCAAUUUUUAAAUCUGUCCAGCUUAGACUUCGUAUCUGGACCUCUUUAAAACCAAUUCUGGAGUCUUUUUCAAGUUUAAAUUGCUGUCCUAGAGUCACAAAAAUUGUUUCCAGUUCAAUUUGAAUCCUCUGUUGAAUUUUGGUUGGUGAUUUGGCUUAAUUUUGGUGCUUAAGAGCAACUAAACUAGUGAAAAUCUGAGUUACAAGUUUGUAGCCUCUGCUGGCUGUUGAAACAAGUCAUAAUUGGUAAAAUAAAGUUGCUCAAAUCAUAAAAUUGAGUGUUCAAACUGGUUUGUGUAAAUUUGCCAUUUCAACCACCAAACUUCAACAUGUUCUUUGGGUUAAGUUGCAGAAAAUUCUGUAUAACUGUGUGGCUGUGUUAAUGCAUCGAAUUUCAUCAAUAAUUGGUAGCAAAAGCUUGGUUCAGUUGAGUUAAAAGAAGUGCACAUUUCGAAUUCUGUUAAGAAUUGCACUGUAAAAAGCUAGUAGAACCAGUACGGCAUACAUACUGUCAAAUUCUGAUGCACAUUUUCAGCUACUCUCUUAGGCAUUUUGUCAAACACUUUUGCCUAGUUUAAAACUGGUUUCGAUUUUGCAAAAGCUGCAACUUAUAAUUGUUUCUUGCUUUCUUAAUCCACUCUAGAGCCUUUCCUAAGAUCAUUUUGAGUGCCACCCGUUAUUGCUAGCCUUUAAUUGCUUGAGUUUUAUCUGUUUGAAAAUUCUGCACAUAAAUUGUUUGAUAAAAUCACAGUUGUGCAUUCUGGGUUUGCAAUUUUCUGGCAGCAGCAAAGUUGUUUUCUGCUCUUGAAAUUGAUUGAUGGUGGUUCCUUUGAGCUCUUUGUUGGGUGCAGAAUCAUCUCAGGUGGUACUACAUCACUGGUAGCCUCCUAGGAAGUGGAGAGUAAGUGGAAAACUCAAGUUUGGAAGCUGAUUUCGGUGCAGCAGGGUUCCUUAUCUUGGACUGCAAUUUUUGCUUGCUGUCAUAGCAUAAGUCUUCACACCAGCAGCUAUGAGAUUAGUGUGAAUCACUCCAGAUUCAUUUCCUUGAGAUGAACAUUGAACUACAAAAGGCACAAACACCCNNCANCUGAGAGUUUUGAAUUUACUGCAUAUUAGCAGUCCUUUCUUUAUUGAGAAUCCAGAGCUGCAAUGUCCAAAGCCUUUUCUUCUGAUUUGUUUUCCAGAUUUGUAAAAUCCUAAUCAGCUUUUGGAAACAAAUCACCUGCACUGAUUUCAGUUUAUUGGUUAACNAUUUGUUUUACUGAUUCUUUUGUGUGCNGAAUUAGAAUUUGGCUUGACCAAGGGGUAGCAAGUUGUGACUGUUGAAUCAAUGCUCAUCUGCCGCAGUUGAAACUGGAUGAACACCAUCUUUGAUUAUCAACAUUGUCCAAGAAUCAGUGACUGUUUGACCAAAGUGGUUUAAACCACAAGCUGCAUUACUUCGAUUUUGCAGAGAAUAUUGUUAUGGACAAAUUGAAAGUAAUGCAAUCUUGUCAAGUAUAGUUAAAAUUUGGUUUGAUUAGAAUUGAAAAGGCUUGAACAACAGAUUGCAAUUUGAGAAGCAAAUUGGAUCCAUCUUCCACAACAAUUACAGUCAAACCGAGAAAGGAAGAGUGGAAUCCAAAAGCUAGGAGAUUCCAAAGUUGUCCAAAGCUGUCCAACAAUUGGAUUUAAAUGAAAUCAGAACGUGACAGUAGCAAUUGUUAGCUUUCUUUUGUAAUUGUUUUGUUCAUUUUGGUUAGGUUUUCUGUGUUAGAUUUCUUUAAAGUGUAAAAGGCCAUUCCAAGUCCAAGUGUUUUUGGAAGAGUCCUUGGUGCUCCUUCAACUCUUGGCAAUUGUUUGCUUUACAUUUAGCUUAGACUGGUGAGUGUGUCUUGCUAGCCAAAGCUACAAGCCUCACCUUAGGAGUAGAAUUUUAUCUUACUUGUUUGUAUGUGAUUUUGUAUGUCN